UCGUUUAUGCAUCAUCAUGGCAUCAUGCAUGCAUCAUAUACAUGUUUUCAACAAAAUAAAAUUAUUUUAUAAACCCUAAAAUUAUUUUGCUUCUUUCUUAUAUGGGUGAUCUAAUAAAACCUCUCCUUCUCCUUCUUUUAAUAAAACCCUAACCCUCUCUUUCCCUAGGCCUCUCUCUUCUCUUCUGGCCCAGAUCUCCACCGACAGCCCACCUUCUCCUCUUCCUCCCUCUGGCCCAUCUCUUUUGGCCCGUACCUCUUCGCACGCCAUCCUCUUUCUUCCUCGGUGGACAGCGCCCAGACAGCUAUCGAUCCCACCUUUUCUGUGUGAUCCUCCCCUCCUCUGCUUUUCUAUCUGGACCACGGCAUCCACCUGCUCCUCCUUAUCUCUGCAACCACCCAUCCUCCUUCCUCACGUCUCCCUUGCCCCUUUUCUUUCUUCAUCUGCAAGCCAAACGAGAGAGAGAAAACCCAUCGUUGGCCACCGUGGCAACUCCACCAUGGCGACGCCGCUCCAGGCACCCCCCCUGCCCGUCCGAGCACACCACCAGAACCGCCUCACCUUCCUCUCCAUCCCCACCCAAGGAAUCGAGCCGGAGCUCUCCCAAUCGCCGCCAAUUUCGCCGAUACCCAACUCUGACCACCGGAGAAAAUGGUCGAUUCUGGCCGCUGGAGACCUCCCCCAUCCUCUCCGACCUCAUCCACGGCUUCCUGGUGAUGUGCUCGUUCUUCCAGACCUCUUCCCCGUCUCAAUCUCGUCCUCGUUUUCUUCCUACCGACUUUGACCACCGGUAACCUCCGCAGGAGCUCGUCGCCGGCGACGCCGCGGUGCCUCCCUGACCGUCUCAUCACCCGAAGCUGCACCACCACGCUGAGCCGCACCCUCGACGCCACUUCUCUCGACCUGGUUCGCUCCCAGUCGCCCAAACCAUCUCCGACCUGCUCGUCCGCCAUGGCUGCUGUAUGCAAGGUCGACCCGGCCUUAUGUGUGUUCUUGUUGACGUGCACCUGGCACUGUUCAUUGAUCCGCAUCUAGCCUAGCUGAUCUCGCAGCGAAGGAUGUUUCAAUUUGUGUGGAGUCUUUCCCUAAUCAACAUAUACACACUAGCCUGGCUGGUGGCCCCUUCUGUCAGCCUCCACCGGCGCCACCUCAGCCUUCCUGCCUUGUCAGCGUCCUGUCACCAUCUCCCUGGCCCGCUGGUCAGCCUCUUGGGGUAUCUCAUCUUCGCAUUUGCUUCUUCCCGGAUAGGAUCACGAAGUGUUGAUGUGAGAUACGAC
Molecule: long non-coding RNA, 1277 nt
Organism: Lolium rigidum
Lineage: Eukaryota; Viridiplantae; Streptophyta; Magnoliopsida; Poales; Poaceae
Exons: 4
Source: RefSeq, a predicted model, not a curated record